AUUGAACGCUGGCGGCAGGCCUAACACAUGCAAGUCGAACGAGUGGCGGACGGGUGAGUAAUGUCUGGGAAACUGCCCGAUGGAGGGGGAUAACUACUGGAAACGGUAGCUAAUACCGCAUACCCUCGGAUGUGCCCAUAUGGUAUUAGCUAGUAGGUGGGGUAACGGCUAACCGAGUCGACGAUCCGUAGCUGGUCUGAGAGGAUGACCAGCCACACUGGAACGUAGACACGGUCCAGACUCCUACGGGAGCCAUCAGGGGGGAAUAGUGCACAAUGGGCGCAAGCCUGAUGCAGCCAUGCCGCGUGUAUGAAGAAGGCCUUCGGGUUGUAAAGUACUUUCAGCGAGGAGGCGUUACUCGCAGAAGAAGCACCGGCUAACGCCGUGCCAGCAGCCGCGGUAAUAC
Molecule: ribosomal RNA, 406 nt
Filed under: uncultured bacterium
Lineage: Bacteria
Description: partial 16S ribosomal RNA
Rfam family: Bacterial small subunit ribosomal RNA
Source: RNAcentral